AUUUUGGACAAUGGGGGAAACCCUGAUCCAGCCAUCCCGCGUGUAUGAUGAAGGCCUUNGGGUAGNANAGUACUUUUGGCAGAGANGAAAAGGUACCUCCUAAUACGAGGUACUGCUGACGGUACCUGCAGAAUAAGCACAGGCUAACUACGUGCCAGCAGCCGCGGUAAUACGUAGGGUGCAAGCGUUUAUCGGCAUUACUGGGCGUAAAGCGUGUGUAGGCGGUUCGGAAAGAAAGAGGUGAACUACCAUGGCUCAACCUUGGAACUGCAUUUUUAACUGCCGAGCUAGAGUAGGUCAGAGGGUGGUAGAAUUCCACGUGUAGCAGUGAAAUGCGUAGAUAUGUGGAGGAAUACCGAUGGCGAAGGCAGCCCCCUGGGAUAAUACUGACGCUCAGACACGAAAGCGUGGGGAGCAAACAG
RNAcentral lists this ribosomal RNA (422 nucleotides) under uncultured bacterium. RNAcentral describes it as "partial 16S ribosomal RNA". It matches the Rfam family "Bacterial small subunit ribosomal RNA", at positions 361 to 775 of the family's 1533-position model. The record is from RNAcentral.